AACGCUAUUUACAGGCUUAACACAUGCAAGUCGAGGGGCUGCAUUUUAGUUUGCUUGCAAACUGAAGAUGGCGACCGGCGCACGGGUGAGUAACACGUAUCCAACCUGCCGAUAACUCCGGGAUAGCCUUUCGAAAGAAAGAUUAAUACCGGAUAGCAUACGAAUAUCGCAUGAUAUUUUUAUUAAAGAAUUUCGGUUAUCGAUGGGGAUGCGUUCCAUUAGUUUGUUGGCGGGGUAACGGCCCACCAAGACUACGAUGGAUAGGGGUUCUGAGAGGAAGGUCCCCCACAUUGGAACUGAGACACGGUCCAAACUCCUACGGGAGGCAGCAGUGAGGAAUAUUGGUCAAUGGGCGCGAGCCUGAACCAGCCAAGUAGCGUGAAGGAUGAAGGCUCUAUGGGUCGUAAACUUCUUUUAUAUGGGAAUAAAGUUUUCCACGUGUGGAAUUUUGUAUGUACCAUAUGAAUAAGGAUCGGCUAACUCCGUGCCAGCAGCCGCGGUAAUACGGAGGAUCCGAGCGUUAUCCGGAUUUAUUGGGUUUAAAGGGAGCGUAGGUGGAUUGUUAAGUCAGUUGUGAAAGUUUGCGGCUCAACCGUAAAAUUGCAGUUGAAACUGGCAGUCUUGAGUACAGUAGAGGUGGGCGGAAUUCGUGGUGUAGCGGUGAAAUGCUUAGAUAUCACGAAGAACUCCGAUUGCGAAGGCAGCUCACUAGACUGUCCCUGACACUGAUGCUCGAAAGUGUGGGUAUCAAACAGGAUUAGAUACCCUGGUAGUCCACACAGUAAACGAUGAAUACUCGCUGUUUGCGAUAUACAGUAAGCGGCCAAGCGAAAGCAUUAAGUAUUCCACCUGGGGAGUACGCCGGCAACGGUGAAACUCAAAGGAAUUGACGGGGGCCCGCACAAGCGGAGGAACAUGUGGUUUAAUUCGAUGAUACGCGAGGAACCUUACCCGGGCUUAAAUUGCAACAGAAUAUAUUGGAAACAGUAUAGCCGUAAGGCUGUUGUGAAGGUGCUGCAUGGUUGUCGUCAGCUCGUGCCGUGAGGUGUCGGCUUAAGUGCCAUAACGAGCGCAACCCUUAUCUUUAGUUACUAACAGGUUAUGCUGAGGACUCUAGAGAGACUGCCGUCGUAAGAUGUGAGGAAGGUGGGGAUGACGUCAAAUCAGCACGGCCCUUACGUCCGGGGCUACACACGUGUUACAAUGGGGGGUACAGAAGGCGGCUACCUGGUGACAGGAUGCUAAUCCCAAAAACCUCUCUCAGUUCGGAUCGAAGUCUGCAACCCGACUUCGUGAAGCUGGAUUCGCUAGUAAUCGCGCAUCAGCCAUGGCGCGGUGAAUACGUUCCCGGGCCUUGUACACGCCGCCCGUCAAGCCAUGAAAGCCGGGGGUACCUGAAGUACGUAACCGCAAGGAGCGUCCUAGGGUAAAACUGGUAAUUGGGGC
RNAcentral lists this ribosomal RNA (1446 nucleotides) under uncultured organism. Its description in RNAcentral is "SSU rRNA". It matches the Rfam family "Bacterial small subunit ribosomal RNA". The record is from RNAcentral.